This 776-nucleotide small RNA is filed under the name Pan troglodytes (chimpanzee). RNAcentral describes it as "processed transcript". The record is from RNAcentral. Lineage: Eukaryota; Metazoa; Chordata; Mammalia; Primates; Hominidae.
AAUCCUCCUCUUUCUGUUUUAGAUUGUAUCUAUGCUUUUCACAUCAAUAGCAAAGUUGACUCCUGAGGCAGCCAAUCCUUUCUUUAAGUUGUUGACUAUGCUAAUGGAGUUUGCUGGUGGACCUCCAGGAAUGCCUCCCUUUGCAUCUUAUAUUCUGCAGAGGAUAUGGGAGGUGAUUGAAUACAAUCCUUCUCAGUGUCUAGAUUGGUUGGCAGUGCAGACACCCCGAAAUAAACUGGCACACAGCUGGGUCUUACAGAAUAUGGAAAACUGGGUCGAGCGGUUUCUUUUGGCUCACAAUUAUCCUAGAGUGAGGACUUAACCCAGUGGUAACCAAGAACAUUGCCUUCAAUUACAUCCUUGCUGACCAUGAUGAUCAGGAUGUGGUGCUUUUUAACCGUGGGAUGCUGCCAGCCUACUAUGGCAUUCUGAGGCUCUGCUGUGAGCAGUCUCCUGCAUUCACACGACAACUGGCUUCUCACCAGAACAUCCAGUGGGCCUUUAAGAAUCUUACACCACAUGCCAGCCAAUACCCUGGAGCAGUAGAAGAACUGUUUAACCUGAUGCAGCUGUUUAUAGCUCAGAGGCCAGAUAUGAGAGAAGAAGAAUUAGAAGAUAUUAAACAGUUCAAGAAAACAACCAUAAGUUGUUACUUACGUUGCUUAGAUGGCCGCUCCUGCUGGACAACUUUAAUAAGUGCCUUCAGAAUACUAUUAGAAUCUGAUGAAGACAGACUUCUUGUUGUAUUUAAUCGAGGGUUGAUUCUAAUGACAGAG